CCCUUUGGGUGUGACUGCGUACCUUUUGUAUAAUGGGUCAGCGACUUAUAUUCUGUAGCAAGGUUAACCGAAUAGGGGAGCCGGAGGGAAACCGAGUCUUAACCGGGCGUUAAGUUGCAGGGUAUAGACCCGAAACCCGGUGAUCUAGCCAUGGGCAGGUUGAAGGUUGGGUAACACUAACUGGAGGACCGAACCGACUAAUGUUGAAAAAUUAGCGGAUGACCUGUGGCUGGGGGUGAAAGGCCAAUCAAACCGGGAGAUAGCUGGUUCUCCCCGAAAGCUAUUUAGGUAGCGCCUCGUGAAUUCAUCUCCGGGGGUAGAGCACUGUUUCGGCUAGGGGGCCAUCCCGGCUUACCAACCCGAUGCAAACUGCGAAUACCGGAGAAUGUUAUCACGGGAGACACACGGCGGGUGCUAACGUCCGUCGUGAAGAGGGAAACAACCCAGACCGCCAGCUAAGGUCCCAAAGUCAUGGUUAAGUGGGAAACGAUGUGGGAAGGCCCAGACAGCCAGGAUGUUGGCUUAGAAGCAGCCAUCAUUUAAAGAAAGCGUAAUAGCUCACUGGUCGAGUCGGCCUGCGCGGAAGAUGUAACGGGGCUAAACCAUGCACCGAAGCUGCGGCAGCGACACUGUGUGUUGUUGGGUAGGGGAGCGUUCUGUAAGCCUGUGAAGGUGUGUCGUGA
RNAcentral lists this ribosomal RNA (683 nucleotides) under Salmonella enterica. RNAcentral's name for it is "partial 23S ribosomal RNA". It matches the Rfam family "Bacterial large subunit ribosomal RNA", at positions 582 to 1266 of the family's 2925-position model. Lineage: Bacteria; Pseudomonadati; Pseudomonadota; Gammaproteobacteria; Enterobacterales; Enterobacteriaceae. The record is from RNAcentral. RNAcentral also lists the same sequence under 1 other name.